UACGGGGGGGGCAAGCGUUGUUCGGAAUUACUGGGCGUAAAGGGCUCGUAGGUGGCCAACUAAGUCAGACGUGAAAUCCCCAGGCUUAACCUGGGAACUGCGUCUGAUACUGGAUGGCUUGAAUUCGGGAGAGGGAUGCAGAAUUCCAGGUGUAGCGGUGAAAUGCGUAGAUAUCUGGAGGAACACCGGUGGCGAAGGCGGCAUCCUGGGCCGGUAUUGACGCUGAGGAGCGAAAGCGUGGGGAGCAAACAGG
RNAcentral lists this ribosomal RNA (253 nucleotides) under uncultured bacterium. Its description in RNAcentral is "partial 16S ribosomal RNA". It matches the Rfam family "Bacterial small subunit ribosomal RNA", at positions 524 to 776 of the family's 1533-position model. The record is from RNAcentral.